GCCUGUUUUAUCAAAAACAUAACUAUAUGACAUAAUAUAUAGCUUUUCUGCUCAAUGGUACGCUAAAUAGCCGCAGUACUCUGACUGUGCAAAGGUAGCAUAAUCAAUUGGCUUUUAAUUAAAGUCUGGGAUGAAAGAAAGCAUGGGUGGCAACUGUCUUACUGUUAUAUUAAAUUGAAGUUAGUAAGCAAGUGAAAAUACUUGCAAUUUAAAAAAGACGAGAAGACCCUAGAAACUUAUAUAAUUAUUUUGUUGGGGCGACAGAAUUACAAAUAACUAAUUUUAUUGUACAUGACGUUAUCAGGUAGAUUAAGUUACUCUAGGGAUAACAGCAUAAUUUUUAUAGUUUGUGACCUCGAUGUUGGACUAGGUAAAUAAUUUUUUAGAAGAAAGUUUAAACGCUCUGUUCGAGCAAUGGAACCUACAUGAUCAGAGUUCCAGACCG
RNAcentral lists this ribosomal RNA (445 nucleotides) under Tingitana minetti decussata. RNAcentral describes it as "partial large subunit ribosomal RNA". It matches the Rfam family "Archaeal large subunit ribosomal RNA", at positions 1890 to 2687 of the family's 2987-position model. Lineage: Eukaryota; Metazoa; Mollusca; Gastropoda; Stylommatophora; Helicidae. The record is from RNAcentral.